This 81-nucleotide transfer RNA is filed under the name Candidatus Nasuia deltocephalincola. RNAcentral's name for it is "Candidatus Nasuia deltocephalinicola tRNA". It matches the Rfam family "tRNA". Rfam says of the family: Transfer RNA (tRNA) molecules are approximately 80 nucleotides in length. Their secondary structure includes four short double-helical elements and three loops (D, anti-codon, and T loops). The record is from Rfam by way of RNAcentral. Lineage: Bacteria; Pseudomonadati; Pseudomonadota; Betaproteobacteria.
AUGUGGAUGGCGAAACGGUAUACGCGGCAGAUUUAGGAUCUGCUGGAUUUAUCUUUGUGGGUUCAAAUCCCUCUCCACAUA